Molecule: ribosomal RNA, 367 nt
Filed under: Aphrodes hamiltoni
Lineage: Eukaryota; Metazoa; Arthropoda; Insecta; Hemiptera; Cicadellidae
Description: partial 12S ribosomal RNA
Source: RNAcentral
GGAUUAGAUACCCUAUUAUUUUAGACUUAAAUGUUUAAUUACCUGAAUAUUAAUAGUUAUUUUCUUGAAACUCUAAGAAUUUGGCGGUAAUAUAUUUUUUUAGAGGAACCUGUUUUUUAAUCGAUGAACCACGAUACUUUCUACCUUUUAUAUUUAUUUGUAUACCUCUAUUUAGAAUGUUUUUUUAGGAUAAUUUUCUUUUUCUUUAUAAGUUUAAUUUUAGGUCAAGGUGCAGUUUUUUUUAGGUAAACAUGGGUUAUUUUUUUAAUAAACAACUAGUUAAGUUGUUUUGAAUUUGGAUUUAACAGUAAAUUUAAUUAAUUAAUUAUUUUGAAUAUUUUUUUAUAUUAUGUACAUAUCGCCCGUC